GAUAAGGUUAAGUGAAUAAGGGCGCACGGUGGAUGCCUUGGCACUAGGAGCCGAUGAAGGACGGGACUAACACCGAUAUGCUUUGGGGAGCUGUACGUAAGCUAUGAUCCAGAGAUUUC
This 119-nucleotide ribosomal RNA is filed under the name Enterococcus faecium. Its description in RNAcentral is "partial 23S ribosomal RNA". It matches the Rfam family "Bacterial large subunit ribosomal RNA", at positions 1 to 114 of the family's 2925-position model. The record is from RNAcentral. Lineage: Bacteria; Bacillati; Bacillota; Bacilli; Lactobacillales; Enterococcaceae.